Molecule: non-coding RNA, 11765 nt
Organism: Taeniopygia guttata (zebra finch)
Lineage: Eukaryota; Metazoa; Chordata; Aves; Passeriformes; Estrildidae
Source: RefSeq, a predicted model, not a curated record
UCCAUUUAUUAUUACUUGGUGGUUGCGGGGGGAUGUGGGACAGAAUGUUUUUAAAUGCAUUGAAUUAUUGUACAUAUGUCUCUGGUAGCCUCCCACAGCAUGCACAGAAAUUUGCUUAUGAAUCCUAGCCAGAAGGCUCACUCUUUAAUUUCUGCUGUAGUUUUCACUGUUAAAAAUGCUGUGUUUAUUUUCAUUCUUUCUGUGAAGAAAAGAGGGAAAUCCAUGGUUAUUUUCCUUUUUCUGCACCCUCAGGGUUCAGGAGGACAGGUAGAGGCAGACAGCAGCACCUUUGUACAGCUCUGAGGAAAACUGCUCCAUCUGACUGAGCAGGAAUAGUUUGGGCUGUGUCAGGACAGUUUGUUGGGGCAGGCUGUGCUUGCUGUUGCUGAUGACUGAUCAGAGUAGUUCUGCUAAUGCCAACUCUUCACAGGAACAACUGGGAAGUAAAAUACACAUUUCUCAGCUGCUUCUAGUACACUAUGGCAGGUGGCAAAGAGGCAGGCAGUGACUCACUGAAUCGGCUUUGAGCACCAGAAAACACUGUGGCUACCUGGAGAUCUGUGCAGCAUUGUUUUGGCAACAGUAUUUUUAGAGGAAGGUGAAGCAAUUGAAGGUGCUUGUUCGGUAAUCUUAUAACUAAAUGAAAUCUAGACUGGAAAUCUAGACUCUUCCUUAGUUCUUAAUUUCUCUGGGAAUAGAUCACAAUCCAGCAAAAGAACUAACAUUUAGACAUAUUAAUCCAGAAAACUAGUAUUUUUUAACUGCUUUGUUUUUUUGAUCAGUCUGCCAAGAAAAUAUUCCUAAGGUAAAUACAUUAAAGUUCCCUGCCUGAAUAGUUAAAAGAGUUAAUGAAUUUUUAAUAAAAUAUUAAAGAGGAUUCCAGCAGCCUGCUUACUAGUUAUAUGUUAUAAAAUCAUCAACUGGUUAUGUCUCUGAGUUUAUUUGUGACACAUGCUGAAGCUGUAAGAUGCAGAAUCACAGGGUGGCUGGGUUUGGAAGGGAUCUCUGGAGAUCAUCUAGUCCAAACCAGCUGCUGAAGCAGAUUCACCCAGGGCAGGUUGCACAGGAUUUCAUCCAGGUGGGUUUGAAUACCUCCAAAGAAGGAGAGGGAUUUACAUACCUACCUCAUGAGGGCUUAGUAUUUAAGUUUUAGCCUGUAAAAAUUAAAUUUUUUAUUACUUCCUUUAAAAUAUGCUCAUGUUACAAAGGACAGCCUAGCUAUCAAAAGAAAACUAUGCCAAGUGAAAUAUAGGGAAAACCAAACUCCAUUACUUUUUAAAAAUCACACUGAUUUUAUAAAAUUUAUAGUGAUUUUCUCAAUGACUUGAGGACAGGUAGGCAAGCUAUUAAAUGCAGUAAAAAAAUUUGAUGUUAUUUGAUAUUUAAUUCCCUGGAGAAGUUUUCAUUUUAUAUCAAGCUACAGACUGAAAUAACACAAAUUAGAUCAAGCAAAAAAGCCUUGUGAAACCUGUCCUUAAGUAUUUGUUUGUCAUAUGAAAGACCCAGACUGCAGAUUAUUCUGCAAGGCUUUCACAUAUUGCUUUGCUGUGACACUGAUAGAACGAUGGAACGAGUGGCCAUAUGUCAGUUUCUGACAUUUAGACAGAAAGAGUAAAAAUAAUAACUAAAAUUAAAAAAUUGAUGAAGCAAGAGACUAAAAAACCCCAACAAAAGUCAACAAACUGGGAAGGAAGCUUUUCUUCCCAUGGCAGAUAGAAGCAGCCUGGUGAAGAUUUUGCUGAAGGAACAAUUUUUGACUUUAGACUGGUAAUGUGACCUACAGAACAUCCCUGAGGAAAGUGUCUGUAUCAGUGGCUGUGACAGCCUUCGAACUGAACACAGAGGAUUUUAGACUUGUGGCAAUUCUGCAGAGAAGUCCUUGUGUGAGUUUGUAUUUCUGCAGGUUCCCCAUCUCAGUAUUGCCUUGUAGCAAUGAGAAGCUGAUUGGUACUUCAGUUUUCCCCUGGCUCUUGAACAUUCUCCUUAAUCAGUAUAACAGUGUUAGUUUUAGUUAUUCUACUAUUAUGCCCAAGGGAAAAAAAAUCAAGGUUUUUCUUGAUGCUGUCCUUUCAAGACUGCUCAUCUGCAUUUCCCAUAGUGGGUUCUGACAUUUGGCUGGUAUAAGUCACUGUAGGAUCAUUAGAGCAGAGUUUCCACUGGUGAAAAUUGCCAUGCUUCUACUGAGGGCUCAUAGGCUGGUUGAUGGGACCUGAGGGGUUUUGCCUGCAAUGCCAGCAGAAUAACACAGUGCAUAUCAGGAGGGGGUUUGGGACAGUAGAUGCUGAUCACUGUUUGAAGAACUGCCUAUAGAGUGAAAGAUAACCUUUCAGUAAAUAAGAAAAAAAUAAAACCCACAUUCAAGGAAUCUGAAAGCAGAAUAUCUUUGCCUUUUAUUUUUUUUUUUUUCUGUUAUGUAGAGCAUUCCCUUGUGGGUCAACUGCUUUCCCUUCUUACUGGUUUAAAUUUACCUCUCUCUUUCCCUGGAUUAUACACCAUAUAAUUUCACAGCUGGAUUAAGUCAGGGGCAAGGCUGCCCUGCUCAACGUGCAAAUAACCAAACUGAACUGUUAUCUGUCUGUCACUUUAAUUUUGCUAGAGGGAAUUGCCUUGGAGCCAUGGCACUGGACUCAGUAGCUGGCCAUGGCUGCUGCAGGAUCUUUUUUUUUUGUUUUUAUUUCUGAAGCCCUAAUGAGAAUAUUCUUGUAAGAAAUGGCAAGAGAUGAAAUGACACCUAGGGUCAUCAGUGGUGGUAAAAUGAAGAAUAUGAAUUGCUAUAUUCCUGAUAUUUUCCAUACAUGAUUUUAGACAGGAGGAAAUGGAAUCCUGGCUUUCUUGCUUAUUUUGCUGUCUGCUGUCAUUCUCUGUUUAAAAAAAAGGCACUGAAGACUCUGAGAAUGUCAUGGAGGAACUAACUUGACAAGUCAAUUUGUUCUUAAGAAUGUUGUAAUUACUGUGAUGGAGACUAAUUGAUUUACAAGGGACAUGGGACCUGCAGCACUGAAAAAGUAAAAAACUGUAUAAUAGGGUAUUGAGGGUGGUUUUUUUUGCUCUGGGCAGUUUUGGGACUGUCCCAUGACUUAUCUCCAGGUUAAUAGUGAAACCAUUUUUGUCAUCUUUAAAAUGAUCCACUAAUUGUAAUAGAUGAAACCAGAGCUGAUCAAUAUUUUUGGCAAGCAGAUACUCAAUUGAAAAAAAUCUGGUAUUGGACUUCUUUUCCUAUUUUGAAGUAACUUUUUGUUUUGCAAGUUACUUCGUUAUUCCAUGAUAAGAUAUAACAGAAAAUAUUUUCUUGAAACAAAAUUAAGUGUUACUUGUGUUUUUUUCAGACAAUUUCAAAAUUCUUUGGGUUUGUUGCAGUUUGGAACAUUAGUUUAUUUUCAAUUCUCAUUUUUCAAUAUAAUUGAAAUUCCAGUUUCCUCUCUGCAUGGUUGAGAAUAUUUUUGUCCAUAAAAAUAAUUUGAAUUCAUUAACUAUUAAUCAAUACAACUAUUAUUAACUACAAUUAAUUCAAGAGGCACUUAAGUAUGAAUAGCCACAUUCUACAGAUGGAAGAGGAAAGAAAAAAACAUUAAUAUCUUUGUUCAAGGCCAUAUAAUUAUACAAGAGACUGAUCUCAAGUGCUGUGCUCAAAGAGACAGUACAGCAUUUCAUAUUCAGACAUGAGCAGAAUUCAACAAAUGAAGAAAUGAAUAGCUGUAGAGAAUUUCUCUUAUUACCCAAAUGAAAGUAAAGUUAAGGAUGUUUCUCCUGGCUUUUAUAUAUGGGAAACAAAUUACACAGUUAAAUACGAAUAAUUUUCUUGACCUGACAGAAUUUCAACAGAAGAAAAUAUACCAUAUUCAUAUUGAUUGAUGAAUCAACUUAAUGCUAGGUUUGAACUUUCUAUUGUUGAAGAGAAUACAUCAUGCUGUAAUUUAGUCUGAGUAAGAAAAGAAAAUAUUGGUCUAAAAUUUAAACAGCCCUUGAAACAUGUGGUGUUGGUCUCUUUUCAAAUUUGAAUGAUCAAAAUAGCAUUUGUCAGUAAUUCUUUACAGUAAUUAGUAUUAUUCCUCACUUAAGGAAGUACCACCUACUUUGGGGGGUAAUGUUAUCUUUUUGUGUUCAGACAUCAAUCAAAAACCAAGCUUAAAGAAAAUUCCACAAUUUUUGCCAAGAACAGUGCAAUUUAAGACUUUGAAUUCCAGAGCAUAUUUUUGCAGUGUCAGCUUGAGCAAUUUCAUACUGUGGUUUUUGUCCAUAAUGCCGUAAGAUUUAAUUUAUAUUGGAAAAAAUUUGACUUAUUACAUGUGAUGGUGUUGUGAAAUCUCAUGGUAGGAGUGGAAUCCAGUCAUGUCACCACCAUAUAAAUCUCUGAAACAGGGAGUUUGUAGUAGUAACUGCUAUAUGUGUUUGAGCCGAGCACUGUGAUCAAUUGUUGGGUGAUGCCAAAUUGAGAACCAUGUAUCACUCUAUUAGUUGAGGUAGAAGAGAAAUAAAUGCAUAGUAAAAGACCAUUAGAAAAGAUACAUUCAGUAUAAAUGAUCUAGUGCUCAGUUAAGUGAAUAAGAGAGAAGCUAGCAUGUAGGCAAAGGAGAUGUACAACUUUGAAAGGCCAAAAUUUAUGAUGAUAAAAGAAGUCCCAGAAAAAAAUACAAUAUGGAAUAAUAGAAGUAAAUGAAGAUAAUUAGUGCUAAGUGAGUGUGGUGUAGCUGGAAAGUAAACAGAGAGUUGAGAGAGGAAAAAAUGAAUGUGUUGCUGGUCAAAUUGUUGGCAGCUCUCUGAGGCAGUACUUUUGCAAUAGAUUAAUUUAAACCUUGUUAAUGGGAUAAUCUCUCAUGCUAAUACAAAUUAGCUAUUUAGGAAUUACUGAAGCAGCUACACUGGAAAGCAUGCAACUUCCCUUUUUUUUUAACCACUGCAUUCAAUAAGGGGAAGGGGAAUAAAUUAUCAUAUUUACAGUUUUCUGGAAUAAAGUGGGACCUACAAAGAAAGAUUUUGGGUUAGAUUAAUUUUACAAACUGGAAAAUGUAAUUUUAAAAGUAUUUUUAAACUGUAAACAUCUGAGUAAUAUGAAAUCUGUUUGAAACAGUAGUUGACCACUCUUAUUUGAAUCUGUCCAACAAGACAGUGCUGUAUUUUGCAUGUAAGUCUAUUGCUAAAUCUAGCAAUGAAUGAAUAAUUUUCCAUGGCUAAUUGAAAUUUUAAAGUAGUCAUAACCUACUUUUAAUGUAAUGUUAAAAAAAAAAACCAAAAAACCACCAAACCCAGCUGUGUAUCACAGAGUGUGAUCCAGGCACAGAGGAGAUGUUGGCGAAUUGUGGUUCUUGGAUGAGAUGACAGGAGGGAUAAGUGAGACCCUGUGGACUGGGUGAAUUUACUGUGGCCUCUGGGGAAGGAUGGAGCAGUUGGGUUAUUGUGCCCAGGUGGGGCAGGGGAGGGCUGGAACAUGGGCCUUGGGUUGGGCGUGUGAUGAUGAAGGAGCUCUACUUGGGUGGGUGUCCCUGUGUGAGAAGCCCCAGGGAAACAGGACAAAGCCCAUGGGAGGUGUGUGCUGGGGGCUGGAACCUGCUAGAAACCCUCGGAACAUGGCUAGGAAGGUCCUUGGUGUGGCUCCUAGGUGUAUUUGGAGAUUCAGAAGGAGCUUGGCAGCCUUGAACUGUGGAAAAAGGGGAGUGUGGUGGGAAGGAAAAGCAGUGGUAGAGGAGGAGGGCUGCUUGUCUGAAUUCUGUAAGUGCAUCUGUUCUGCAGCAUUGCCCCAGGGGGCUGUGCCAGGCAGGAGUGACUCCUUAGCAGACAGGUAGGUGGAAGGAGUAUUUUGGAGAAAUGCAAAUGGUGUGAAGCAGAUUCCUGGGGUUAAGUGCACAGCCAGGAUAUACACCAGCUAGGCAAAAGAAGCACUUGCUGUUCAGAGACUCUUGGGGAUUCAAGUGAGGCUGUCUCUCUUCUCUGCUUUGUUACACAUCUCCUCAUCUCUUCCCCCUCCCAUUUUUUUUUUCCAGUCAAAUAUGAGUUUUUCUAUCUUCCUCCCUUAAAAACCUCCCAACCUCCGUGCUACCCAUCACAUGCCAUUUUUAUGCUGCCAUGUGAAGGGGCAGGCUGUCUUUCCCCCCCAAAAUCCUCAGUUUUCCAAAUUGUGUUGAUGUAUAUAGGCCCUGCAGGGCUCUUAUGCCUUGGAAGACAUUCAGGGUUAAAUUCUCUCCUAUGCUAUAAUCCUAAUUAUGCUACCUUUCCAUGUUUUACCCAGGCUCAGACACCUUGGUGGCUCAGACAUCUGCUCUGUCUGCUGAUGGAUAGCCUCUACCAAAAGAGAAUUUCAGAGCAGGAUGUGUUGCUGUGUCCCUGCCUGGUGUUGACCUUCUCUGUAGGUUCUACUUGAGGCUGUUGAGUCCUGUUGACUCUUCUUCUGCCCUCCAAAUGUUCAGAUUAGUCUUUCUGCUAAGUCACAGAUAAGUAAGGAUGUUACUGAAUUUCAGGGCUACUUCUUCAUAGCUUUGAAAAGCCUGACAUGAUUUAUCAUUCUGUUAAAGAGAGAAUAGUAGUCUACAUAAGCUAUUCAAUCUGUAUCAGGCUAAAAGAAUUAAAAGGCUGAAUUACAUUUUCAGUGAUAAUGUAUGGUGAUAGCCUUUGUCCAAAGAGAGCUAAUUGAAUAUAUUAGAGUCUGAAUUAUUUCAAAAAGCUGCUGUUAGAGAGAGACUUACACUGUGUAUAAAGGGAGGCAUGUUCCAGAGGCAGGGAUCAGUUACUCUCCCCCAUUCAGCACACUUGUAUCGAUCUGAGGCAGAAAGUCAGAUGAGAUGACAAAGAAUAUUUAUUUGAGCAGCUAAGUGGUUGCUCUGUAGUCUAUUUCAUAUUAGGGAUAGAAUUAGAAUUGGAAAAGAUGGAGAGGUAUUAGAUGCCAAUAACAAUAAUAUUAUUUGGGUGUUUUGCUUCUUUGAGAUAAGUAAACAGCUUAUGGAACUGGCUGUUGCUUUGAAUCAGAAGCACAGGGAAGCAGACUGUUGUCUAUCGGGGGUUAAUUUUUUAUUUGCUACCAGAGAAAGUGUGAUUUUUUUUAGGUUGCUUAUGUGUCAUCUUUAUUUUUGUUUUUCCUCUCAAAGUAAAAUGAAAAUAGAGUUUGUUUCCUGUUUUUUUUUUUUUUCUGAGUGUGCAUGUAUGCAUGCAAGGCAAGCAUGGACAUAGUUUUACAAAUAAAAAAUCAGCCUUCCUCUCUCUUCCCACACCCUGUGCUCUAAUACAUGAAUUAUUGCUGUUUCUCCCCCAGCUCUAACCAAGCUCACAGAUGUCUGACUAAAAUAGGCUUCAGGGGUCUAGAGAUCUGUUUUCUUCAGUGCUGCAAACCACAGCAGUAUCCAGAGGGCUUAGAUAUUGAUUUUGACCUGUGCACAUAACGCUAUCUCAUCUCUUAGUUGCUAAAUAUGGACAUCUGUAGGAAAGGUCAUGUUCUCAGACCUAAUUAAGAAGAUCAGGAGAGACAAAUGAUGGAAAUGUGUAGUCUUAAUGAUGACCUGACAGGGCUGCCAGGUUACUGCAGAUAGGCAGAGCCAGGUUGUGGCAUGGCUGACUUCAAAUAAAGUGUCAAGAAAGAAGGCACUGCUUUCUGCAGCUCUUGCCUCACAGUAGUGAUAAAUUUGGUUCAUUGCCUCCCCUUUUGGAAUAAAUAAUUUAUUUUUUUUUGUCUCAUUCUCUUUCUUUUAAUGGUUAGCUUUUAGUCUCCUGCAUCUCCCAUUAAUUGAUAUGAAGCCUGAACUUUAGCAGUUCCAUAUGAGAGAAAAGUGCUGGAAAACUUAGGAAAGAUUUGUGCUAAUACUGAAUAUUUCUCUUUUUAAAAAUAGGUAAUAAGUAGGAAGUAAAUUAUCCUGCCUUUGAGCCUAGAAAAAAAACUUAAUGCUUGGGUUAAGUGCAUUUUCUUUCUGUACAUGUAGAAAGUGAAUAAUGGCCUAAACAGUGAAUACUGUCAUGUAGAUUGAAUCUAUUACUAAAGUACUUGUGCUACUGCAGCUAUAGGAGGUGGGGUGAAUGCAGCAUUUUAGUUAUUUUCUGCAGUUGUUCAUGCUGCCUCUUGUUUGGAAUGGAAAAUGAAGUAUUUCUCAUGUUUUUGGGGGGGCAGGUGGAGUGGCCUCAGUUACUUUUAAUGGCUGUUCAUUAGACAAUUUGUAUUUUUUUUUUCUAGGUGGACUUUUAUUAGUCAAUGAAUUGAGCUGAAUUUAAUUUUGCAUGGCAAAUGAACAGCAGCAACUGCUUUUAUCUGUACAGCAUCUAUCACAGUGUGUCCACUGUUACUGUUCUUGGACCACAAAGACAUAAGUAACAAUAAUUGCUCUGCUUACAGCCCUUGUGUUUUCACAGUGUCUCUGCCUCCUUAUCUGGGUGUGGAAGUAAUAGCACAAAUUUUAUGUUGUCUGACUGAGAGGUAGAGGCAAAACAUGGAUAUCCUGGAUCCUGUAUUUGCAAAAAAGGCUACUUACAUGGCUGAGGUAUCAGUGUGAGACAAGGGGUGCACUCACAGUAGAUUAGAUCUUGCAGAAAGCAAGGAAAUGCAAAAGAAAACCUGCGUAAAUGUGCACAGUAUAUAGUGAGGAAGUCUAAUUCAUGACAACUGAUACAUGGAAAAUUGCCUUUGGCAGUAUUGCAUGGACAAACUUAGGAAGCACUUUCCUUGAAUAUAAAAUAUGGAUACUGCUUUCCCCCAGGACUGAGGCUGGUCUGUUUGUCUGGUUUUGGGGUACAGUUCUACUCUGCAAAGAACGUGUAGAAGGAGAGGGAGAAGAAGUGGUUGUGUUUAUUAUUUUAAGACCUUUUGACAUUCAAGUCUGCUCAGUCAGUGGCUAUGGAAUUAUUUCUUCAGUGUCUCAGUGUCUUGAGCUUGCCCUUUGGUUUGGAGGGGACUGGCUACACUUUCUUCCUUUUUUUUGUGCAGCAGCCAUCACUGGCAAUGAAAGUAAACCUGCCAACUUAUGAAAUAUUUAUCAACACCAAUACACAGGUAUCAGCAGUAGAAUUUUUUCAGUCUCAUUCAGUUGCUUCAAAACAUUUGAAAUAUGAGGUGUGUGAAAUUCAGUAUUUUCUGACAUACCUGACCAAGUGCUGCAUAUUGAAGUGAGCACUGCACCCAAGUUCUCUCUGUAAAAAAAAUACAGUAAAAAUGUACAAUGUGUCUAUUCUGUCCAUAUAACAGAUUUUUUUAAAUUUAUUUUUGCAUAGCCUCAAGGGAUGUUUUCUGUUGGAUAGAGUUCCAGUAGUUGCAGCUGUGUUGGGGUACAUCAGACCCAGUAGAACCCCAUGGAAUAUUACUUAGCCUUGUCCUUUCCCUGGCUGCCACAUAGACAUUCCUUAUGGUGACCCUUUAGAGCAGAGUACCUGGGGAUGCCUGCUUGGGACACCCAGUGCCAUUUCUAGCUCCUCAUGAACUGAGGUUUUUCUAUUUCCUUUGGGCACAAGGAUCUUUGGGUGCCUUUUAAUCUGCCUCUCAAAACUGGCAGGAGCAGCAGACCAAGAGGGUGGGACACACAUCAAGAGAAGUAAAUUGAGUUCAGGCUCCUUUGCGUGACGUCGUGGAGCCAUCUGUACGAUAAAAGCAUAAAAAUAAUCUGUACCAAUAAGAGCAUUAAAAUGGGCAAUAAUCUAAAAGUACAGUUCUAUUUCAGAAAGUGGUAAUCUAAAAUUGUCAAUUUUUCAAUCCAGCAGGUCUAUUCCAAUGAGCAUUGAAAUAUAACUUGCUAAAUCUAAUGCCAAAAAGUACUGAUUUACAGUAUUGCAGGACUAUCUGAUUUUUUCCCCUACUUUAUCAUCUGUGAAACAGUCUAUUAAGUUUCUGUUGUUUGUAACCAUUUGAAAUUCUUUCACUUAGAAAUUUUCAAGUUAUAUGCAUAACCAUUUCCCUGUGCAGUUCUUGCUUUUGAUAUUGAUCCAUUUAUGAUAGACAAAUCAUUUCCUUCAAGGAAAUCAAAGAGAGAGCAUUGUUAAUACUGAAAUAAAAAUAAAUAGGGUUUUUUAAAAUUGAGCUUUUUCUGAAUUUUUAAAAUCUCAUUAUCAAUGCAAUCAGGUGAGUAUUAGGAGUAAUUUGAAUAUUAAAUGUAUCCUUCCAGUGCAACCAAAUCAAGUAUACAUUUUCUGUAAAUAUUCAAGUUCUUCUUGUAAAAACAGCCUAAUUCUCUUUAUCUCUGGUCAGAAUUUGGUAGAAUCAGUUUCUCCCAAAUGAUGUAGUUUAAUUCCAUCUAAAUUUUUUAAAUAAAAUUUCUUUUAGUGAAUUCCACAAGGGAAAUUAGGAUAAGAGAAUGCUUGAAAGAAGUAUUUUCCCUUAGACAGUUAAAAUGUGAUUUCACAUAUUUUAAUUAGCAUUCCCAUUUUUCAUAUCCAAUUUCUCGAGCUCCUCUUCUGUGAUUGUUUCCUUUCCCCAAGUAUUUCUAAUCCUUGACUCUUUUUAAUUUUAAUUAAGAAUUAACCAAAUUCUAAGCUAUUAAAUCCUUCUUAAACCUUUAUUAUUUUUUGGCUUUGGUAGGUUUCUUGCUGACAAACAGCAUUUUUUUUUUUAAUUGCAGGGAUCUGUUUAAUUUGAAAAACAGGUUUUACACAAAAAUAAAACUGUUUUCUCGGAUAUUGGGGUGGAGAUUUUUAUGCAAUGUAUGAUUAAAAGGCUUGGUUUUGAGACUGAAGCUAAAAGAGCACCAUUUCUGGGGACUUCUCAAAAUGGAAAAAAUUAGUGUUUCACUGGUAAGGUUUGUAAAGAGAAAAGGGAGAAAUGGGCAUGAGCCCAGAGGAAAAAGGCCAGAAGACUUUGUUAUAAUGUCAGAAUAUUUUAAAUGCAGAGACUAAAUGAGCUUGUCAGUCAGGACUUGCAUGUCCAAUUCUAAAAUAUGGUUAUAAUUGUUUGCAUUUUCCACUUUGCUUUUUCUCUCCAUACUGAGUGUUCAGAAAUACCUGCUUUCCCUCCCCUGGAAAUUAAGGCCUUUUGUGCCAUAUUCUCAGAAUUGGCACUGAGGCUUUGCUCCAGUGUUUACAAAACAAAGCUGGGUAUGGAAUGAAUGGGAAAUGGAAAUUAACUUACUCUGUGUAGCAAUUUUUGUAUCAGUGACUUGAAAAGUUUGGCAUAGAUAUUAAUGAAAAGAAUAGUGCACUCUCUUUUAGAUUUCUGGAAAUAUCUCUGAUUUAAAAGAAGGCUGCUUUUUAUAUUCUUUUUUUCUUUUUUUUUUCUCUCUCUUUUUACUCCCCACCCCCUGGUUGUAUUAGAUCUUGUCCAGAUACUUAAUAGAAAUUACUUGUGUGUUCCCAGGUAACAAAUUACAUCUGUCUCUGAAAAUGAGGCAAUGUAAUCAUGACAAAUUCAUGAAAUAAAGGGAAAAUGUAUUGCUGCAGUCUUGGGGAACAUGAGUCAAUAUACUUUAUGUAAUUAUUUAAUAAAACAUAUUUUAUAGUGCAUUGAAGCAGCCCAAGAUACUGAGGCAGUUGUAUUUAUUCAGGAAUAAACAAACUUCCAGUAAAAGCUGGUGACCAGAAGUAUGCAAUUAUGCAUUUCCAGAAAUACUCAUUAAACCAGUCUGCUUAAAUUUUAAUCAGACUUCUAUGUAUGAAACAGUUUUGGUAAGAGGAAGUAGAAAAAAAAAAAUUAUUUUUAUGGUAGGCUAUUCAGAUCUUCUCAUGCUCCAAAUGGGUUUGAAUUUUUUAUUUUGCUUCUUGUGCAAAUCUGUAUAAAAGUUAACAAUACCAAGUCCUGCAUGCUGGCUUAAUUCUGUUUCAUGGGAGCCAUAAUUUUUUCAGCACAGAAAUACUGCAUUGAUAUCAAAGCUGUC